CCCUUUAAAACGCGAAGUACGCAUGCGCCACAUCCUUUCUUCCCAAGAGCGGAAGGAGCUGGUCGCACAUUUUACACGUUGCAGUAUAACUUGAGGAGCCAGAUGAAGACUGCUGCAGCCAGUGGAAGGGAUCAUAACAUUUGCCACUGGAAAUGGGAGACAUGAGAAGUACAGAUGAUUAAAAAUGGUCUUAGGAUUACCACUAGAAAAAGGGUGCCCUGAGAAGUGCAGAUGAAGACUGGUCCAGGGAUUGCCACUGGAAAAGGGUGACAUGAGAGGAGCAGAUGAAUAAUAACUGGAUCAAGGAUUGCCACUUAUGAAACAGUGACCUGAGAAUUGCAGAUGAAUGAAGAGUGGUAACUUUUAUUUUUGGUUCUGUAGGUUUGCACAAAAUGCAAGAUCUGCUUGCGGGGUUCUUCCAACAUGAGGUCCCUCUGGUGCAAGGAGUCCAGGUCACGGAGGGCACAGGGAAACACUGCAUUGGGUGGAAAAACAAGCGCAGAGGCCCCUGCAUUCCCAAGACAAACUUUCUCAUUCCCGAACUCUGUAUUAUGCACUCACUGUAACGGGAGCUUGAUCCUAACUAUAAACUAGUAAUGAAGUGGUAAAUGGGUUAUGAUCAAAUGUACAUAUUGAAAGAAAUUCUCAUUGAAACUUU
Molecule: long non-coding RNA, 658 nt
Organism: Sinocyclocheilus anshuiensis
Lineage: Eukaryota; Metazoa; Chordata; Actinopteri; Cypriniformes; Cyprinidae
Exons: 6
Source: RefSeq, a predicted model, not a curated record